GGAGAGGUGGCCGAGUGGCUUAAGGCAACGGUUUGCUAAACCGUCGUAGGGGUAAACACCUCUACCGGGGGUUCGAAUCCCCCCCUCUCCG
Molecule: transfer RNA, 91 nt
Filed under: Planctomycetes bacterium B3_Pla
Lineage: Bacteria; Pseudomonadati; Planctomycetota
Also listed under: 1 other name
Description: tRNA-Ser
Rfam family: tRNA
About the family: Transfer RNA (tRNA) molecules are approximately 80 nucleotides in length. Their secondary structure includes four short double-helical elements and three loops (D, anti-codon, and T loops).
Source: RNAcentral